Molecule: non-coding RNA, 88 nt
Organism: Cercophora newfieldiana
Lineage: Eukaryota; Fungi; Ascomycota; Sordariomycetes; Sordariales; Lasiosphaeriaceae
Source: the annotation of a GenBank genome assembly
GGGCGUGUGGCUCAGUUGGUAGAGCAUUCGCUUAGCAUACUCCUCUCCGGUAUGCGAAAGGUCCUGGGUUCGAUUCCCAGCUCGUCCA